UACGGAGGGGACUAGCGUUGUUCGAAAUUACUGGGCGUAAAGCGCGCGUAGGUGGAUUUGCAAGUCGGGGGUGAAAGCCCGAGGCUCAACCUCGGAACUGCCCUCGAUACUGCAAAUCUCGAGUCCGAGAGAGGUGAGUGGAAUUCCUAGUGUAGAGGUGAAAUUCGUAGAUAUUAGGAAGAACACCAGUGGCGAAGGCGGCUCACUGGCUCGGUACUGACGCUGAGGCGCGAAAGCGUGGGGAGCAAACAGG
This 253-nucleotide ribosomal RNA is filed under the name uncultured bacterium. RNAcentral's name for it is "partial 16S ribosomal RNA". It matches the Rfam family "Bacterial small subunit ribosomal RNA", at positions 524 to 776 of the family's 1533-position model. The record is from RNAcentral.